UGGAGCAGGCAUUGGAGGCGGUGAAGGAGUAGCAGGAACCGGAUCAGGUUGUUUAGCGACAUAGUCUGUCCUUUGUUUCUGGAUGGCGCGGGUGUACACAGGUUCUGGCAAUCCCAGACCACCUUCAUAAUUCCUCAGAGGGUCCAGAAUGUUGUUUGGCACAAAGCCUGUAUUGCCGCUUUUAUUCCGGACCUUCCACCACUGCUUCCUAUCAUCCAGAAUCUCUACAAUCUCUUCUUUCAGGACAGAAAGCUCACUGUUGUUUCUUGCCAUAAAUUCAUACUUGCAUUUGGCAUAUUUCUUGGACUGUGUUUUAUUGUGUGCCUCAUAGUUUCCAUCGGCUGGAGGGUAGUCGGGAACACUGGGAGGCUCAGUUGAUAAUCUUUUUAUUUCUUGCUUCCGUUGUUGCUCUGCAAAGUUUGCC
This 424-nucleotide long non-coding RNA is filed under the name Gallus gallus (chicken). The record is from RNAcentral. Lineage: Eukaryota; Metazoa; Chordata; Aves; Galliformes; Phasianidae.